UGGCAGACGGGUGAGUAACACGUGGGAACCUUCCCUUUGGUUCGGAAUAGCCCAGGGAAACUUGGGGUAAUACCGGAUAAGCCCUUACGGGGAAAGAUUUAUCGCCGAAGGAUGGGCCCGCGUCGGAUUAGCUAGUUGGUGGGGUAACGGCCUACCAAGGCGACGAUCCGUAGCUGGUCUGAGAGGAUGAUCAGCCACACUGGGACUGAGACACGGCCCAGACUCCUACGGGAGGCAGCAGUGGGGAAUAUUGGACAAUGGGCGAAAGCCUGACCCAGCGACGCCGCGUGGGGGAAGAAGGUCUUCGGAUUGUAAACCCCUGUUGGGAGGGACGAUGGGUAAAGGGGCUAAUAUCCUUUUUACCUGACGGUACCUUCAAAGAAAGCCCCGGCUAACUCCGUGCCAGCAGCCGCGGUAAUACGGAGGGGGCAAGCGUUGCUCGGAUUUACUGGGCGUAAAGGGUCCGUAGGCGGUUUCGUAAGUCGAACGUGAAAGCCCGAGGCUCAACCCCGGAAUUGCGUUCGAAACUGUGGGACUGGAGUCCGGAAGGGGUCGGUGGAAUUCCCGGUGUAGCGGUGAAAUGCGUAGAUAUCGGGAGGAACACCAGUGGCGAAGGCGACCGGCUGUUCCGGUACUGACGCUGAAGGACGAAAGCGUGGGGAGCGAACCGGAUUAGAUACCCGGGUAGUCCACGCCCUAAACGAUGGACGCUAGGUGUGGGGGCGUUAGCCUCCGUGCCGCAGCUAACGCAUUAAGCGUCCCGCCUGGGGAGUACGGUCGCAAGAUUGAAACUCAAAGGAAUUGGCGGGGGCCCGCACAAGCGGUGGAGCAUGUGGUUUAAUUCGAUGCUAAGCGAAGAACCUUACCGGGGUUUGACAUGACGGAUUAAGCCUAUCUGAAAGGAUGGGGUGGGGUGGAGUUUUACUUCACUCAGCCGUCACAGGUGCUGCAUGGCCGUCGUCAGCUCGUGCCGUGAGGCGUCCGGUUAAGUCCGGUAACGAGCGCAACCCCUAUGCUUAGUUGCCAGCAUUCAGUUGGGCACUCUAAGCAGACUGCUGGUAAAAAGCCGGAGGAAGGAGGGGACGACGUCAAGUCAGCAUGGCCUUUAUGCUCUGGGCUACACACAUGCUACAAUGGCAGGUGCAGAGGGUUGCCAAAUCGUAAGGUGGAGCUAAUCCCCAAAAGCCUGUCUCAGUUCGGAUCGCAGGCUGCAACUCGCCUGCGUGAAGCCGGAAUCGCUAGUAAUCGCGGAUCAGCUACGCCGCGGUGAAUACGUUCCCGGG
Molecule: ribosomal RNA, 1283 nt
Filed under: uncultured bacterium
Lineage: Bacteria
Description: bacterial SSU rRNA
Rfam family: Bacterial small subunit ribosomal RNA
Source: RNAcentral